AGGGUUUGAUUCUGGCUCAGAACGAACGCUGGCGGCAGGCUUAACACAUGCAAGUCAAGGGGGCACAGAGAUGUGCAACCGGCGCACGGGUGAGUAACGCGUGGGAACAAAUCCUUGAGUGGGGGAUAGCUUCUGGAAACGGAAGGUAAUACCGCAUGACCCCUGAGGGGGAAAGAUUUAUCGCUGAAGGAAUGGCCCGCGUUGGAUUAGUUAGUUGGUUAGGUAAAGGCUGACCAAGGCGAUGAUCCAUAGCUGGUCUGAGAGGACGAUCAGCCACAUUGGGACUGAGACACGGCCCAG
RNAcentral lists this ribosomal RNA (300 nucleotides) under uncultured bacterium. Its description in RNAcentral is "bacterial SSU rRNA". It matches the Rfam family "Bacterial small subunit ribosomal RNA", at positions 8 to 334 of the family's 1533-position model. The record is from RNAcentral.